UCUUGUUGUAAGGUAUGUUUUGUUUAAAGGAACAAGGUGGUUCAUUGUCUUCUCACUUUUUGUUUCUUUUGUGAACUGAAAUAUAUAAAUCAUUUAUCACGGCUAACUAUUACAAUAACCAUGAGGAGAAAUUGAGUGAUUCAACCAAUAUCAUAAGAUGAACUCACGACGCAAAACCUCAUUUAGGGUGAGGUGGUUCUUUAAUUUAAACCGAACCAAGGAAGUGCUUUUCGAAAUUUCUUCAUUGUAUUUGUGCAAAAGUGGCCCGCAUGUUCUGAAUGCAAGUGACUGGGCAAUAGUGGCAAGGACAAAGGGAUCAAAUCACGGAGGAAGAUUAUCUGUUGUGAUCAUCAGUAUGUGCAUAUAUAGCCAUCUUGGUUAUCCCUCCAGUCACAAAAACAUGUAGUUUAGGAUAAAAUUGUGUCAAGAAUUUUUUGCUGCAAGGAAUACAUUACAUAGAUCAAUCAGCCAAUAUCUAUGUUUAAAAAAGGGAAGUGAUCAUACAUAUAGUCAAUUUCUUUUUUUUAAAGGGAGUUUAAACUCCGCUUUUAAAAAAGCAAUGUGAUACAGCCAUCCGCUACAAUUCAUAGCAAGAUCAAAAAAAAAAAAACUCGAAGCAUCUAACCACUCAUAUCUCAUAGACAUCAGUAGAAACUAUCACGCUUGGAGUAAACUCUUUCAGCCAUCCCACAGAACGCUCCUCCUCCUUAAGAACACUCCAUUUCUUCAUGAACGAGACUGCAGAAAAUCUCCUCUCGAUCGCCAUUUUGCUCCAAGUAGUCCAUAGAGCCCAUGCAAAGCCUGCAAAAAUGAACAUAUAUAAGCAAUCUUGCUGGUAAAAGACCCCUUGCCUUGCAACCAAUUACUGCUAAAAUCCAUCAAAAGGAUCUAGGAAAUUCCUUCAACUGCCAGAUUUCCCUAAUGACACACCAAAUAAAUUUAGCAAGAUGGCAUCUGAACAAAAUAUGGUCUACAGAUUCUGGGCACCCAUAGACAACCGUUGCCGACUUUGGCUUACUUGCAGCUUAUUAUUGAAAAUUUGCCAAAGAAAAAAUUAGUUUCCCCAGAGGAACUUUGCAUUUCCAUGUAAGCCAGCUACCUUGCUGGCUAUUCCCCAGAUAUGUCGUCAAUUUCUUAACAAAGAAUUACAAGGAAGCAGUCAGCAACUCCCGCCCCCUACAUGAAUCCAACCGCGAACAACUCCCCUCCUUGUCUAGCAGUAGCACCGUGUGGCGCC
This 1237-nucleotide long non-coding RNA is filed under the name Sorghum bicolor (sorghum). Its description in RNAcentral is "long non-coding RNA (SBIC_LNC011106)". The record is from RNAcentral. Lineage: Eukaryota; Viridiplantae; Streptophyta; Magnoliopsida; Poales; Poaceae.